RNAcentral lists this ribosomal RNA (497 nucleotides) under uncultured bacterium. Its description in RNAcentral is "partial 16S ribosomal RNA". It matches the Rfam family "Bacterial small subunit ribosomal RNA", at positions 28 to 507 of the family's 1533-position model. The record is from RNAcentral.
GAUGAACGCUGGCGGCGUGCCUAAUACAUGCAAGUCGAGCGAACGGACGAGAAGCUUGCUUUUCUGAUGUUAGCGGCGGACGGGUGAGUAACACGUGGAUAACCUACCUAUAAGACUGGGAUAACUUCGGGAAACCGGAGCUAAUACCGGAUAAUAUUUUGAACCGCAUGGUUCAAAAGUGAAAGACGUUCUUGCUGUCACUUAUAGAUGGAUCCGCGCUGCAUUAGCUAGUUGGUAAGGUAACGGCUUACCAAGGCAACGAUGCAUAGCCGACCUGAGAGGGGGAUCGGCCACACUGGAACUGAGACACGGUCCAGACUCCUACGGGAGGCAGCAGUAGGGAAUCUUCCGCAAUGGGCGAAAGCCUGACGGAGCAACGCCGCGUGAGUGAUGAAGGUCUUCGGAUCGUAAAACUCUGUUAUUAGGGAAGAACAUAUGUGUAAGUAACUGUGCACAUCUUGACGGUACCUAAUCAGAAAGCCACGGCUAACUACGUG